GCGUCAUUUCAAACCUCAAGCUCACGCUUGGUAUUGGGCGUCGUCCGCCAGGACGUGCCAGAACCCGUAGGCAGCGGUGCCCGUCUCCCAGCGUAGUCAAGUUACCCGCUUCGGAGCGCGCGGCGCCGCCCGCCGGACGAACAAUCCACUAUUUUCUAUGGUUUGACCUCGGAUCAGGUAGGGAUACCCGCUGAACUUAA
This 200-nucleotide unclassified non-coding RNA is filed under the name soil metagenome. RNAcentral's name for it is "partial contains internal transcribed spacer 2 and large subunit ribosomal RNA". The record is from RNAcentral.